RNAcentral lists this ribosomal RNA (375 nucleotides) under Escherichia coli. Its description in RNAcentral is "bacterial SSU rRNA". It matches the Rfam family "Bacterial small subunit ribosomal RNA", at positions 1152 to 1526 of the family's 1533-position model. The record is from RNAcentral. RNAcentral also lists the same sequence under 1 other name. Lineage: Bacteria; Pseudomonadati; Pseudomonadota; Gammaproteobacteria; Enterobacterales; Enterobacteriaceae.
CCAGUGAUAAACUGGAGGAAGGUGGGGAUGACGUCAAGUCAUCAUGGCCCUUACGACCAGGGCUACACACGUGCUACAAUGGCGCAUACAAAGAGAAGCGACCUCGCGAGAGCAAGCGGACCUCAUAAAGUGCGUCGUAGUCCGGAUUGGAGUCUGCAACUCGACUCCAUGAAGUCGGAAUCGCUAGUAAUCGUGGAUCAGAAUGCCACGGUGAAUACGUUCCCGGGCCUUGUACACACCGCCCGUCACACCAUGGGAGUGGGUUGCAAAAGAAGUAGGUAGCUUAACCUUCGGGAGGGCGCUUACCACUUUGUGAUUCAUGACUGGGGUGAAGUCGUAACAAGGUAACCGUAGGGGAACCUGCGGUUGGAUCAC